RNAcentral lists this long non-coding RNA (287 nucleotides) under Rattus norvegicus (Norway rat). RNAcentral's name for it is "long non-coding RNA NONRATT031978". Lineage: Eukaryota; Metazoa; Chordata; Mammalia; Rodentia; Muridae. The record is from RNAcentral.
AGAUAAUCACCCCUGUGUAGGGGUGAGAUGCUCAGCACUGAUCCCUGAUCCCCAUGCCCAGGGCUGCAGGUGGAAAGAGACUAGGCAGGUGCACAAAGACUUCCGAACAGAAACCGCGCGGAGGGGAAGUGUCUGGGAUGUGUCCCAAAGACGGAGCUGAGAUAGCUGCUCCCGUCUUUAAUGGCAAAAACCAUCUCCCACCGCGCUUCUUGCGUGAUUUUAAGAGUGGGGCGGUGCGUAAGUGCGCAGAUGAGACGGAGUAGCUCCAGUUCUGCCGCAGGUCCCGG